CAGCAGCCGCGGGAAAACGAAGGGGGCUAGCGUUGCUCGGAAUGACUGGGCGUAAAGGGCGCGUAGGCGGCGGCCAAAGUCAGGCGUGAAAUUCCCGGGCUCAACCUGGGGGCUGCGUUUGAUACUUGGUUGCUUGAGUGGGGAAGAGGGUCGUGGAAUUCCCAGUGUAGAAGUGAAAUUCGUAGAUAUUGGGAAGAACACCGGUGGCGAAGGCGGCGACCUGGUCCUUUACUGACGCUGAGGCGCGAAAGCGUGGGGAGCAAACAGGAUUAGAUACCCCCGUAGUCCCUGUCUCUUAUAC
RNAcentral lists this ribosomal RNA (301 nucleotides) under uncultured bacterium. Its description in RNAcentral is "partial 16S ribosomal RNA". It matches the Rfam family "Bacterial small subunit ribosomal RNA", at positions 509 to 807 of the family's 1533-position model. The record is from RNAcentral.